UGAGGAAUAUUGGUCAAUGGGCGCAAGCCUGAACCAGCCAUCCCGCGUGCAGGAAGACGGCCCUAUGGGUUGUAAACUGCUUUUCCAGGGGGAGAAACUUGCGCACGUGUUGCGCAAUUGACGGUACCCUGGGAAUAAGCAUCGGCUAACUCCGUGCCAGCAGCCGCGGUAAUACGGAGGAUGCGAGCGUUAUCCGGAUUCAUUGGGUUUAAAGGGUGCGUAGGCGGACUAUUAAGUCAGUGGUGAAAUCCUGCAGCUUAACUGCAGAACUGCCAUUGAUACUGAUAGCCUUGAGUUUGGUUAAGGUAGGCGGAAUGUGUAAUGUAGCGGUGAAAUGCUUAGAUAUUACACAGAACACCAAUUGCGUAGGCAGCUUACUGAGCCGACACUGACGCUGAGGCACGAAAGUGUGGGGAUCAAACA
This 423-nucleotide ribosomal RNA is filed under the name uncultured prokaryote. Its description in RNAcentral is "bacterial SSU rRNA". It matches the Rfam family "Bacterial small subunit ribosomal RNA", at positions 355 to 774 of the family's 1533-position model. The record is from RNAcentral.